Molecule: ribosomal RNA, 273 nt
Filed under: uncultured Methylobacterium sp.
Lineage: Bacteria; Pseudomonadati; Pseudomonadota; Alphaproteobacteria; Hyphomicrobiales; Methylobacteriaceae
Description: partial 16S ribosomal RNA
Rfam family: Bacterial small subunit ribosomal RNA
Source: RNAcentral
UACGAAGGGGGCUAGCGUUGCUCGGAAUCACUGGGCGUAAAGGGCGCGUAGGCGGCGUUUUAAGUCGGGGGUGAAAGCCUGUGGCUCAACCACAGAAUGGCCUUCGAUACUGGGACGCUUGAGUAUGGUAGAGGUUGGUGGAACUGCGAGUGUAGAGGUGAAAUUCGUAGAUAUUCGCAAGAACACCGGUGGCGAAGGCGGCCAACUGGACCAUUACUGACGCUGAGGCGCGAAAGCGUGGGGAGCAAACAGGAUUAGAAACCCCGGUAGUCC